Long non-coding RNA from Nicotiana attenuata, 480 nucleotides. RefSeq lists it as uncharacterized. The transcript is spliced from 2 exons. NCBI's taxonomy places the organism in Eukaryota, Viridiplantae, Streptophyta, Magnoliopsida, Solanales, Solanaceae. The record is from RefSeq and is a predicted model, not a curated record.
CUAAAAUUCCUAAACCAAAACCUAAUCAUCCUCACCCUAGCCGUCACUCUCCCUCCCACACUUUGUUAUUUCUUUCUUUUACUUUUAGUAGUCGGCAAUUCAAGGCUGCGAGAAAGACAAAAGGAUCAACAAGAGUGUAUCCCCAUUGCGAUCUUCAUUUAUGGAUAGAAAGUUUAAUUUCUUGGUUCGUCUCUUCCCCGUCUAGUUUGAAGAGGGCUUCAUAUAUUCUUGGAUUCAUAAAGAUCAACAGCUGCGAUGAGAGUGGUAAUAUAAAGCAUCAAGAUCAAACGGGGGUGACAACACGAAUCAUAAAGCAAAUGCUUAUAUUCGUUUAUAUGGAAUAUCGUACAUUAUUUCAGAUCUCUAUUACCAUAAAGCCUCACAUCGGCUAGUUCUUUUCGUCAAAUUUUAGUUACUAUAAAAGAGUUAUGUACUGCAGAUGCUAUUAAUUGAUUAAUAUAAAUGUGUAUCUUAGAAUUU